CAAUGAUUGAGAAGCAGUUUGACCAAUGGCGUGCGUAAGGCGGGACUUAACAAGAAAGGUCAAAACAGUGCAGAAACGCACACCAAAAAUUGUCUACCAUAGAAAGCAAAAGGGGAAAUUUCCUGCGACAUUGUGAGGUCAUCAUACUGGUGCACCCUUGGCCUUGUCAGUGGGUGAGGUCACAUCACUAAACUGUCUGAAGAAGCAUCAACAUGGAGAUUGAAUUGGAGACCAUUGUUCUGUUCGAAUUGUAGUUUGUGGAAGAUGC
Long non-coding RNA from Carassius gibelio (silver crucian carp), 268 nucleotides. RefSeq lists it as uncharacterized. The transcript has 3 exons. The record is from RefSeq and is a predicted model, not a curated record. NCBI's taxonomy places the organism in Eukaryota, Metazoa, Chordata, Actinopteri, Cypriniformes, Cyprinidae.